RNAcentral lists this long non-coding RNA (4194 nucleotides) under Nicotiana tabacum (common tobacco). Its description in RNAcentral is "long non-coding RNA (NTAB_LNC001467)". Lineage: Eukaryota; Viridiplantae; Streptophyta; Magnoliopsida; Solanales; Solanaceae. The record is from RNAcentral.
GAGAAGAUCAUUAGUUUUAGAAAAAAAGAGGGGCGGGGUAUUCUUUAUUUGAGCACCAUGUGCAAUUGUAGGGAGCUCUAUUGCACUAAAGUGAUUUUAUAUCAAGUAAAUGCAGUUUGUUGCUCUAUAUUGGUAGCGAACUAAUCCUCAUCUUUAUAUUACUGAUGUUGGUUGCUCGCAGAGUUGAGAGACUGUUUCAUGCAGUGGAGCAUCUGCUAUGACUGACUGCAGGGUGGUUCAUAUUUGGAGACUUCUUUGUUUUUCUUUAACUGUAGAUAUUCUAUAAAUGAGGCAUCAGCUUUUAUGGACGUUUGUUUAAAUUAAAACUGAUAGGGUGGAACUUUAGGAGGAUCCCGAUAACUGUAUUACUUCACUUGUAGCAUAUCAUAAAUUCAAUUGGGGGAGAGAAAAAAAAAAGGGAGCUGGUCGUUGGUUCCUGAUUCUCGUAGUUGUUGAGUCUUAAUGUUUUAAAGCGGUUUUUUGAUUUAGUUCUCCUCAGUCGGACCUGAAAAGUAUUUGUAUUACUUGCCUUCUGUGUCGAAAGUUUUUCCUGCUCCUAAAUUAUAGCUUUAUGUACAAAAAUAUAGUUGCCUCUCAACCGGGAAUCAUCAGCCAACCCAACUUUGAAUGAAGUGAGGAAUACUUUCUCAGUUUUAACUGUGCAUAGACAUGUUAGCUUUAUAUAUACUGUGUGUGGGUGAGCCAUUCUUUUGUUGGACUAUGGACUAUGGACUAUAUUGAUAUGAUAUUAUUCCACAAUUGUCCUUUCCCUAAACUUUGGCCACAUUGAUGCUUGUUAAUCUUGUGUUGUUCUUGUUCAUGUUUAUAGUUCCUUCAUUUACUGCUAAAACAGUUAGCUUUUAAGCUUAGCUCUCGGGGUGUUUUCUCGACGAUGAUCCGAAAAAUGUAAACCAACAGUGGUCGAAGUAGCUUGAGUAUAUGAAUCUUUCAAUGACCCCUAGUUUAUCGUAAGGGGAAGUAAUCUGUGCGCUCCAACCGGAGAAACUUUCAUACUUUUCAUUAAAAAUGACUAUCAUACCAAACAUAUAGGUAAAUAUUUUCUAGCAGUAAGUUGUUUAGUAAUCAGUUUACUAUUUAGAAAUAAAGUACUCAUUCUUCGCUUAUCGAGAAUCAAUUUGACUAAAUUUUUAAGCUAAAUUGACUUAAUUUAACUUAGUAUUUUAAAAUAAAAUUUAAAUAUUCAAAAAUUAUACGAAAAAUACAUAUGAUCAAAAAGUAUAUUUUAAAAUAUUGGUCAAAACACAUACAAUUUGACUCUUAAUAAGUAAAAUAUGUCAAACGGAGGGAGUAAUUCUUUUUUAAACUUUAAAAGUUGUUGAAAGAAAGAAAGGGGGAGGGGGUCAAAAUUUGAUAAAACUACUUGUGGAUGGCCAGGAGCACCUUUUGAGAAACUCAAACUGUGUAGUAAAUGACAUUUCAUUUCUCUUUUUCACCAAUUACCUUUAUAAUGAUGGGUCAUACGAAAGCUAUGUAAGAUGGACAAUCUAGAUUCAAAUAACGCAGCUUAGGCACCAAAAGAGAUAGCAGCGAGCCAGUACGAGAAUGAUAGGGGUAACCGAAUAUAGAUCUUUCAUUGAAUUAAUUGUUAUUAGUAGUAGAAAUAAUAGGGAAUGUUUUGUACUUGUAUGUUAAUACAAGACACCCAAUCAUGAACUACACAAUGCAUAAAUUAGUUGAAAUAACAAUCUAGUGUGGCACUGGCUCCACAUGAGUGGAAGAGCAUUAGUAAUUCACAGUAGAUUUGAUUGCGUCCAGUAUCUGCAAACAAAGAAGGAUCAGUACUUUAGUCAGACUCUGGGUGAAAUCUUUUAAAAAUGAAAAGUUUCAAGACCAGUUACCUUGUUCUUUGUAGGCAAGUAAAAGGGUUCGAAGACAAGAGGAAAAGGGGUAUCUAACCCACAUACUCUGGCCACUGGAGCUUCUAACUGCAAAGCAACUCAAAUAUUGAACACUUAGAAGUACUUCAUUUCGUAACGUCUUAACAAAAUAUUGGAACAUGAGAAAAACAUAGGAAUAUGAGAAUACACAGAUGCAGAUGGAGUCUAUGUUUAACGGAUUCAACUGAACCCAGUAUUUCGACAAAAAGCCUUUAUCUCUGUGUGUGCGUGCAUGAAACCACUAAGAUGUCACCAAAUAUUAAAUUUUGAACCCAUCACUUCAAAAUUAAAAUGAAUUCAGUGUUAAGAACUUUAAAGGUUAGAUUCAUUAAUUUUAAAUCAUGGUUACUCGUUAUGGCAUUUUCUAUUUGAUAAAAAGAGAUUGGAGAACUAAAAUGCUCAUAUUCUUGCAGCAUGUUAGUCUGUUACUGACAUCCUCAACAAACAGAAGGGCCUUACUAAAACACCCCUAUCCAGAGCAAUCAACUCUAAUACAUAAAUUAUUCUCGUGCACAGCAAAGCAUAUUGAUACCCAUACAAGGUUCCGAUUCAUAAAGCACUUUUGGUUUAAAACAGGACCCAGUAACUGAACCUGAGAUAAGGCAUGUGGCAAAUACUUAACUUUUAGCUAACCCAGUUACCCAGAUGCUAGACAACACUGACAGGUUCAGUAGCCUCACCCACUCGCACAAGUAAGAUAUGACGCCCAAGUCCAAGAUCACCAGGAGUAUAGCAAAAGCUCCAAGCUGUUUGCAUUUUUCCAAACAACCUAGGUACCACUCGUUAUUCCUUAAGACUGCUUACUUCAACUAUGUUUCACAAAUCCAAAAGCACAGAGGACAUAUGACCUUGCCUAUGAGAUCUUAUAUAAGGUUUGACAUUUAUUAUGGUGAUCCAGGAAAGAAAAAGGAAACUAACAGAAGUCUACAAAGGAGACCUAAAAUAAGUAAAUACUUACUCUCGUAAAGCAACGUUCAACUAUAGAUGCAGAAAUUUCAGCACCAAAUCCACCUGUCACAGGAGCUUCAUGACUAACCUACAACACAAGAAAACUUCGUAAGUUAUUUAAUUAGGAUGAGAUUACCUCUUCAAUUCCAUAAAGCAUUGAUUAAAAUACUCACCAGAAGCCUUCCUGUCUUUUUGACAGAAGCCUCUACUGUUUCCUUGUCCCAUGGUAUUAAAGUUUUAAGGUCAAUCAGUUCGCAUGAGAUCCCUUCCUAUAGAAUAUACGUAUUUAAAAGCUGAUAAGUAAUCAGGAGAAGUACAUAAGAGGUACAGCUGAAAGAUUAGCUGAUAGAUACCAAGCAUGAGAAAGAAGUUUGAGCAUGCAAAAACCAUAAAAUGCAUUUAUACUGGUAAAAAGAACUAGUGGAAUGACAAGAAAUCUAUUCAAGGCAACAGAUUAUAACAGAUCUAAUAGAAACUAGUAUUCACCUUUGCAGCUUCAAUGCAUGCCUGCUCCAUAGUAGAUAGCUGAGCUCCCCAACCAACUAAUGUGAUAUCACUACCUUCCCUGAUGACCUGCAUUUUUGCAUGCACUUCAGAUCUUUUUGAUAAGAUAAUGGUAGCAUGCUCUUCAGCUUUCAAAUUCAUAAUAAACAAUUAAACAAAACAUCAUACCUCUGCCUCAGAGAGAGGCAACAUAUAAUCAUCUUCAGGAACUUCUUCAACAGCCAUCCGGUAAAGCAUCUGAGAUUCAUCCAGACAUAUUCAAUAUCUAACUGCAGCAAAGAGUAUUACGAGGAAGGAAAAAGAGAUUACCUUUGGCUCAAAAAAGACUACAGGAUUUGGGUCACGUAUGGACGACAACAGCAAUCCUUUUGCUUGAUGUGGACUGCGUGGGAUGACCACCUUACACAAAUAAUUGCGCAAAAGUUGUCAAAGGUAUGCAUUCAAUUCUAUAAGUAAAAAGGACGUGCAUCUGGUUUCUAAAGAAAAUAUAUCAAGAAUUUCAGAAAAGUAAAUAUAAAUAAUUAUUCCCAGAAUCCUUUAGGAGGAGACACUAUGAGCAAAAAGGUGACAGAGAGGGAAAACAGAGUGAGCAUAUAGAAGAUACUAAUGGAAUCACGGAGCUUGGUGCUUCACUUUAAAUCAAGAAAGGAAACAAGCAACCUCGAAAAAUAAUCAGUCAACAAUCCAACCAAUGCCCAUGAUGGUGAUGGAUCACGAAUGGAGAAACUCAAUAUAUAUACUGUAUUUGGAGAAUAACGAUUUUUCUCAUUUGCAGGGAAGAACUUGACAAACAAAUAUUGGAUGUCCAUCUUGUAGAGACUUAUCAAAAGGAAAAAAAAAAGAA